CUGUCUUGGGAGCAUAGGGUACCCAACAUGUUAUUCCACAAUUGUUGUCAUUUUUUUAUCACAAAAACAGUUCAGUUUGAUUCAAGAUCAAGCAACAGUGUAUCUUGUGGAAAUUAUUUACCUUUGUAACAUAGAUAUAAUGCCCCAGAUCAAGACACAUUUUUAUCUCAAGUCUGAGGGAGAAGGGAGUGAAGGAAGAAGCUACCACGAGUUGGUGACAAGUAAAGAUGAUGGAUUCUGGGGUUCCUAUGUGCAACACUUGUGAUUAAGCUCUAACAGUGAAGUGUUUGUGGCGUGUCAGGAAUGCAAUUAUCCCAUCUGUCAGCAUUGUUUAGACUAUGAAAUCAAGGAAGGGCGCAAUGCCUGCAUUCGUUGUGGCACUCCGUAUAAUGAUGCUUCUCUUCUUCAGUUGAUUGCUGCUUCUAACUGUACUUCAAAUGUCUUCAACCCCCGCUAAAGCUGGACCGGGGGUGAACUAUACCAGCCCAAGCUUGGCAAGAAAUAAAUGAAGUGGCCUUGUUAAAGACUUGGUGGAGAUAUCUGCCGAUUGAUCCUUAGAACGUAUGUAUGAGGGAGCUCUGAAGCUUGACUUGUAGUGAUCACGAAUGAGGUGACAGUCAAUCUCCAAAUGCUUGGUGUGCUCAUGGAAAACAGGAUUAUUAACAAUAUGCAACGCAACUUUAUUGUCACAAUAUAAUGGAAUGGGCUAAGAGCAUUAAUUCCAAGAUCUUAUAAGAGAAAUGAAAUCCACACCAGUUCACAUGUUGUAGAUCCCAUUGCUAUGUGUUCAGCCUCAGCUGUAGAAGAGAUUGUAUUUUGCAUCUUUGUCUUUCAAGAAAUCAAGGAUGUUCCCAAGAAGACAAAAUACCUUGUUAAAGAUCGUCUACUGUCCAAGCAAGAUGCCCAAUCUGAGUCACAAUACACACUCAGAUCAGGUGCUGCAUCAGAGGGGAAGAAAAUGCACUUCCUUGGUGUACUCUUCAAGUAUCUCACCACAUGUAGUGCUACAUCCCAGUGCUUUUUGCAAGGAGUUUGGAGGAAUUGACUUAACUGUUGGGUAGCAUGUGAGAUGUCUGGCCUUGUAAAUCCUAAGUACAACAACAUUCCUAUUAGUCUUCUGUAAGCAGCUGGCUGUGGCAGUGUGUGUUCUGAAGCUGUAGUGAACUUGAUUCCAACUGGAAGUAGAGUAUUUCUGGUCUUGGCUUCAGUCAUCUUUAAGUCCAGAAUUAUGUCUUGUAUGUAUUUGCUUUGAGUGAGCAUGAUACCUUCAGAAGCUCUAGCAAU
Molecule: long non-coding RNA, 1284 nt
Organism: Sesamum indicum (sesame)
Lineage: Eukaryota; Viridiplantae; Streptophyta; Magnoliopsida; Lamiales; Pedaliaceae
Source: RefSeq, a predicted model, not a curated record